Long non-coding RNA from Tupaia belangeri chinensis (Chinese tree shrew), 270 nucleotides. RefSeq lists it as uncharacterized. The record is from RefSeq and is a predicted model, not a curated record. Lineage: Eukaryota; Metazoa; Chordata; Mammalia; Scandentia; Tupaiidae. The transcript is spliced from 3 exons.
GGGCAUUCUGAUUCUUUCCUCUUCCUGCUUCUGCUUCACUCUUUUCAUCAAGCCUGGAAAUCUGUUCUGAAGAACACCUCUCCCCCCGAGUUCAUGCGUUCAUUCAUUUGACAAGUCUUUGUGGAUCACCUCGUGCGUCUCCAUCUCUGUGCCAAGUGUUAGGGAUUCAGUAGAUGGCAGAUGCAGCCUCCAUCCAUAUUUGACAUUUUAACUACAUACAGAUGAGAUGGAAAGAGAGAUACUGAAAGAGAGAAAGUGAGAAAUCACCCG